Molecule: transfer RNA, 85 nt
Rfam family: tRNA
About the family: Transfer RNA (tRNA) molecules are approximately 80 nucleotides in length. Their secondary structure includes four short double-helical elements and three loops (D, anti-codon, and T loops). Further hydrogen bonds mediate the characteristic L-shaped molecular structure. tRNAs have two regions of fundamental functional importance: the anti-codon, which is responsible for specific mRNA codon recognition, and the 3' end, to which the tRNAs corresponding amino acid is attached (by aminoacyl-tRNA synthetases). tRNAs cope with the degeneracy of the genetic code in two manners: having more than one tRNA (with a specific anti-codon) for a particular amino acid; and 'wobble' base-pairing, i.e. permitting non-standard base-pairing at the 3rd anti-codon position.
GGCCGGUUAGCUCAGCUGGUUAGAGCGUGGUGCUAAUACAUUACGUAAUACGCCAAGGUCGUCGGUUCGAUCCCGGCAUUGGCCA